Molecule: ribosomal RNA, 464 nt
Filed under: Vreelandella stevensii
Lineage: Bacteria; Pseudomonadati; Pseudomonadota; Gammaproteobacteria; Oceanospirillales; Halomonadaceae
Description: partial 16S ribosomal RNA
Rfam family: Bacterial small subunit ribosomal RNA
Source: RNAcentral
CUACGGGGGGCUGCAGUGGGGAAUAUUGGACAAUGGGCGAAAGCCUGAUCCAGCCAUGCCGCGUGUGUGAAGAAGGCCUUCGGGUUGUAAAGCACUUUCAGUGGGGAAGAAAGCCUUGGGGCUAAUACCCUCGAGGAAGGACAUCACCCACAGAAGAAGCACCGGCUAACUCCGUGCCAGCAGCCGCGGUAAUACGGAGGGUGCGAGCGUUAAUCGGAAUUACUGGGCGUAAAGCGCGCGUAGGCGGUCUGAUAAGCCGGUUGUGAAAGCCCCGGGCUCAACCUGGGAACGGCAUCCGGAACUGUCAGGCUAGAGUGCAGGAGAGGAAGGUAGAAUUCCCGGUGUAGCGGUGAAAUGCGUAGAGAUCGGGAGGAAUACCAGUGGCGAAGGCGGCCUUCUGGACUGACACUGACGCUGAGGUGCGAAAGCGUGGGUAGCAAACAGGAUUAGAUACCCCUGUAGUC